This 725-nucleotide long non-coding RNA is filed under the name Homo sapiens (human). Its description in RNAcentral is "HSALNT0095288". Lineage: Eukaryota; Metazoa; Chordata; Mammalia; Primates; Hominidae. The record is from RNAcentral.
CCUCAGACUCAGAGCUGCGCUCCUCGACCUCAACGCCAGGCGGUUACUUUGCUGCUCCUCCCGCUCGCUAUGUCAACGUCCACUAGCUGCCCGAUUCCCGGGGGCCGGGACCAGCUGCCCGACUGCUACAGCACCACGCCGGGGGGCACGCUAUACGCCACUACCCCCGGAGGUCAGCGGGCCGGGCAGGGGUCCGCAGGCUGCGGACAUAUUAGCGCGCACCAGGAUCAUCUACGACCGAAAGUUCCUGCUGGAGUGCAAGAACUCACCCAUUGCCCGGACACCCCCCUGCUGCCUCCCUCAGAUUCCCGGGGUCACAACUCCUCCAACAGCCCCUCUCUCCAAGCUGGAGGAGCUGAAGGAGCAGGAGACAGAGGAAGAGAUACCCGAUGACGCACAAUUUGAAAUGGACAUCUAAUCCAGUGCAGAUGACCUGGCAUGUGGAGUUACAGAGGGAUCCCUCAUGCCACUGCUGCCACCACCUCUUCCUGGGGCAUCCAAAGGCCAGCUGGCCUCAUCUAAUCUGGAAGGGAGUGACUUGUUAGUUCCAGGCCUCCUUUAGUUCUGAGGCAGCUAGACCAGGGAUAGGAGUGGGCAACUUGCCAAGCCCUUAACUCUACUUCCUCUUCAGUCUGUGGUACUCCUCCUAACCCUAAACCCUCUAUGCUCAGGGGCUGGAACUGGGGAAUGGAGUAAGUCACCUUCUGACUGCUUAGUAAACAUUC